This 601-nucleotide long non-coding RNA is filed under the name Mus pahari (shrew mouse). RNAcentral's name for it is "lncRNA (MGP_PahariEiJ_G0003741.1)". The record is from RNAcentral. Lineage: Eukaryota; Metazoa; Chordata; Mammalia; Rodentia; Muridae.
CUGGAGCUUGGAAGGAAGAUGGAGGAUACCUUGGAGGGUUUUAGGAAGCCUCUGGAUCCCCGAGUUAACCAAUAGCACGGUCACAUGAUGCAAAGACAAUGAAAAGUAUUUUAUCGGGAGGCACUUUCCAUCUCUAGGACACAUUGUCCUUCUGAAGGAAAUGCAUGCCCUGACCUCCAGAAUGUUGACCCUGAAUUCCAUCUCCAGAUCUUCCUGGAAAAUCAAUACCUUAGCUGCCUGCAUCUUGGAAUUGCUCUCAACCACAGGCCUCUGUUUUUUGAGAACAAAGCAGUAUGAGAGGGUCCAGCCAUUGCGUGGGCCAAGACUCGUGUGGAGGUCAGAAGGCAACCUGCAGAAGUUGGUUUCCUCUUUCUACCAUGUGGGCCAGAGAGGUGGAAUUGAGGUUAUCAGUGUGAGUUUCGAGUGUCUGAGGAGUCGUGGAGUGCAGCAGUGUUGAGCUGCUGUGUGCUCCGAGUUCUUCCUUCCAUGGCAGACUAGAAACCGAAGUCAGCAAACCACUGCCAGCUGCCGGAAUCCCACUGGUGGCUGGUCGAUAGGGCCCGGGCAGGAAUACCACUUGCUAACCAGUCCUAAGAACUGC